GAAUAUGGAUUGCCAUCUUCUCACACUCUAAACACAGUUUGCUUGUCUAGGUAAAUACUAUUUAUCUUGUCAUAUAAAUUCAGCUACGGAAACUAAGCACAACAUUAUAGAAAGCUCUGCUUUGAUCAUCGACCUUUAUGUAUACUUAUUGAUAAUAAGUAUUCUAAUUUUGUUAAACAUAUAGCGGCUAUGAAAGUUUUGGUUAUAUUUUCUAACUCAGUAGCAGUGAUAUGAGGUUGAAUGGUUUGGGUUUUGGUUGAUUAGUAGGUGAUGCCACAUAUGAAUGAGGUUUGUUGUGAGAACAUGAAUGAGAUCUGUUUAUCUGAAUGAGGUUUGGUUAUCGGGUUAAACCAUUGCUUGUUGUGGUAGAUGCAGUUUUAAAGUUCAUUAGCAGUGAUACAUACAGUAGCAGCAGCGCUAUCAUCAGAGUCGGCUCGGCAGUAGCAGCGCUAACGUCAAAGUUGGCAGUAACAACACUCUAGCAUUAGAGUCGACAGUAGCAGCACGAUAGUAGCAGCUUUGUUUGAUUCCGGAGAAUUGCCUGAAAAAUUGCAAUAACUCAUUUUUAUCGGGUGCUACUGUGCUACGUGGCAGUAGCACCCAAUGUGCUAUGUGCUACAAUGCUUCUUGGCAGUGUGCUACUGUGCUACUGUGCUACUUGGCAGUAGCACCGAAUGUGCUACUACGCUACUCGGAAGUGUGCUACUGUACUACAAGUCGACAGUAGCAGUUGAUAUGUAGUGAAGGGUAUUCUGGUAAAAUUGUAGUGACAGAUGUCAUGUAGAUAUUAGUUUGUCCUAAUUUGUUAAUAUUUGUCCUUAAAUGUGUAAGAUAUUAUGUAAAUGAUGUAUUUGUAAACUGAAAUUUGGUUACUAAAAAUAGUAACUUUAUAGUAAUUUACUAAAAAUAGUAACAAGGGGUAGUUUGGGUUUUUGGGCAAAAAAUGAGGACCAAAAAUUGAAAUGUGGGACCUCUUGUUAGCUCCAACUCAGCGCAUGACGUCAUAAUCAGAUGGAAAUUUGAAAUUUGGAGUGGACUGAUGCGAUUUAGAAGUUCAGGGAUGAGUCUGAUUAAAAAAAAGAUGAGGGACCGAACUGAUUUUAACCUUAAAGUUUGAAGGGGUAAACUGAAGGUGAUAGUUCAUAUAUUUGAAUAUGUGUCUGUGCUAAUUAUAUAAAUAUUUGAAUAUGUGUAUGUGCUCAUAUAUUGUUUGAAGUUGAUAGUUCUAUUGUUUGAAGGUGAUAGUUCUGGCAAUCUGACAUGAUAAAUAGUUAUACAAAAUGAUGUCUUCAUGUUUACUGUUCGAUAAGUAUUAAUAAUUGAAGUAUGUUUAUAUAUGCUUGCAUUUGAUAUUCAAUCUGCUGCAUCAUGAUGACCGCAUUAUGCAUCUCCUUUUACAUGUCAAAUUAUAUACUGCUAGUAAAGAAACACAAAACCAAAGAGUUUUGGGUAAUAUAGUCCCCUGCAAACUUGAUUUAUACAACAGUACAUGCAUAAUGCUUCUUUUGGCUUAGAGAUAUGGCAAAUACUUGUGUGUCUUAAGGUAUGGAUACCUUAACCACAUGGUUGCUUAUGAUUGGUCCAACUAGAUUAAUGAUGACCUGCUACCUGUUUGACUGGUCAUCCAAUUUAAAUCUCAAACUAAGUCUCACUCUCUCACUAACGGGGUUAGUCUCUCUCUCUCUCUCUAUCUCUCUAACUCAAACAAUUUGAACACCUUUAUCUCGUAGAUCUCUCUCUCUUUUCUCAUCGAUAUGUCAAUUUCUUACUAAAAUUGAUCUCGUUGCAAGAAACUAAUUCCUCUUGUAUGCUCUCUUGAGAUUAAACUCAACGAAGGCAAAAGUUGCAAAGUUUACAUUUAACAUAAGACACGUCUACUAUUUUCAUUAGAAACAUCUACCAUUAACAUAAGAGAAAUCAAAGAAAAGUAGACUUUCUGGAAAAUUAAAUUGUUCUUGAGAUUGAAGCAAAUUAACCAAGGUAAAAAAUGCAAAGUCUACUUGUAACAUAAGACACAACAACUUUUUUCAUAAGAAAUGGCUACCAUUAACAUAAGAGAAAUCAAAGAAAAGUAGACUUUCUGGAAAUCUAAAUUGUUCUUGAGAUUGAAGCAACCCAAGGUAAAAGAUACAAAGUCUACAUUUAACAUAAGACACCUCUACUAUUUUCAUUAGAAAUGUCUACCAUUAACAUAAGAGAAAUUAAAGAAAAGUAGACUUUCUGGAAACCUAAAUUGUUCCUGAGAUUGAACCAACCCAAGGUAAAAGAUGCAAAGUCUAUAUUUAACAUAAGACACAACUACUUUUUUCAUAAGAAAUGUCUACCAUUAACAUAAGAGAAAUCAAAGAAAAGUAGACUUUCUGGAAAUACUAAAUUGUUCUUGAGAUUGAAUUAAUAAUGGAAGAUGAAAGUUGCAAAGUCUACAUUUAACAUAAGACACGUCGACUAUUUUCAUUAGAAACGUCUACCAUUAACAUAAGAGAAAUCAAAGAAAAAUAGAUUUUCUGGAAAAUUAAAUUGUUCUUGAGAUUGAAGCAAAUUAACCAAGGUAAAAAAUGCAAACUCUACAUGUAACAUAAGAAACAACAAUUUUUUUCAUAAGAAAUGGCUACCAUUAACAUAAGAGAAAUCAAAGAAAAGUAGACUUUCUGGAAAUCUAAAUUGUUCUUGAGAUUGAAGCAACCUAAGGUAAAAGAUACAAAGUCUACAUUUAACAUAAGACACCUCUACUAUUUUCAUGAGAAAUGUCUACAAUUAACAUAAGAGAAAUCAAAUAAAAGUAGACUUUAUGGAAAUCUAAAUUGUUCUUGAGAUUGAACCAACCCAAGGUAAAAGAUGCAAAGUCUACAUUUAACAUAAGACACAACUACUUUUUUCAUAAGAAAUGUCUACCAUUAACAUAAGAGAAAUCAAAGAAAAGUAGACUUUCUGGAAAUCUAAAUUGUUCUGGAGAUUGAAUCAAUCAUGGAAGAUGAAAGUUGCAAAGCCUACAUUUAACAUAAAACACGUCUAAUAUUUUCAUUACAAACGUACUAACUAUUUUCAUUACAAACGUCUACCAUUAACAUAAGAGAAUUAAAAAAAGUAGACUUUCUGGAAAAUUAAAUUGUUCUUAAGAUUGAAGCAAAUUAACCAAGGUAAAAAUAGCAAAGUCUACAUUUAACAUAAGACACAACAACUUUUUUCAUAAGAAAUG
This 3196-nucleotide long non-coding RNA is filed under the name Fragaria vesca (wild strawberry). Its description in RNAcentral is "long non-coding RNA (FVES_LNC001720)". The record is from RNAcentral. Lineage: Eukaryota; Viridiplantae; Streptophyta; Magnoliopsida; Rosales; Rosaceae.